UACGUAGGGUGCGAGCGUUAAUCGGAAUUACUGGGCGUAAAGCGUGCGUAGGCGGCUUUGCAAGACAGAUGUGAAAUCCCCGGGCUCAACCUGGGAACUGCAUUUGUGACUGCAUCGCUGGAGUGCGGCAGAGGGGGAUGGAAUUCCGCGUGUAGCAGUGAAAUGCGUAGAUAUGCGGAGGAACACCGAUGGCGAAGGCAAUCCCCUGGGCCUGCACUGACGCUCAUGCACGAAAGCGUGGGGAGCAAACAGG
RNAcentral lists this ribosomal RNA (253 nucleotides) under uncultured bacterium. Its description in RNAcentral is "partial 16S ribosomal RNA". It matches the Rfam family "Bacterial small subunit ribosomal RNA", at positions 524 to 776 of the family's 1533-position model. The record is from RNAcentral.